UGGCAUGGUUGUCGUCAGCUCGUGUCGUGAGGUGUUGGGUUAAGUCCCGCAACGAGCGCAACCCCUAUUGUUAGUUGCUAUCAUUCAGUUGGGCACUCUAGCGAGACUGCCGGUAAUAAACCGGAGGAAGGUGGGGAUGACGUCAAAUCAUCAUGCCCCUUAUGACCUGGGCUACACACGUGCUACAAUGGUUGGUACAACGAGUUGCGAGUCGGUGACGGCGAGCUAAUCUCUUAAAGCCAAUCUCAGUUCGGAUUGUAGGCUGCAACUCGCCUACAUGAAGUCGGAAUCGCUAGUAAUCGCGGAUCAGCACGCCGCGGUGAAUACGUUCCCGGGCCUU
RNAcentral lists this ribosomal RNA (340 nucleotides) under uncultured Streptococcus sp. Its description in RNAcentral is "bacterial SSU rRNA". It matches the Rfam family "Bacterial small subunit ribosomal RNA", at positions 1039 to 1382 of the family's 1533-position model. The record is from RNAcentral. Lineage: Bacteria; Bacillati; Bacillota; Bacilli; Lactobacillales; Streptococcaceae.